This 213-nucleotide ribosomal RNA is filed under the name uncultured bacterium. RNAcentral's name for it is "partial 16S ribosomal RNA". It matches the Rfam family "Bacterial small subunit ribosomal RNA", at positions 149 to 354 of the family's 1533-position model. The record is from RNAcentral.
CCUGGAAACAGAUGCUAAUACCGGAUAACAACACUAGACGCAUGUCUAGAGUUUAAAAGAUGGUUCUGCUAUCACUCUUGGAUGGACCUGCGGUGCAUUAGCUAGUUGGUAAGGUAACGGCUUACCAAGGCAAUGAUGCAUAGCCGAGUUGAGAGACUGAUCGGCCACAUUGGGACUGAGACACGGUCCAAACUCCUACGGGAGGCAGCAGGU